GCAGAAGGAUCAUUAGUGAAGAUUUGGGCAGGCCAUACGGACGCCACAAAGUGUCCCUGGCCGCCUACACCCACUAUACAUCCACAAACCCGUGUGCACUGUCCUUAGAAAGGGCAUUUGGAGAGAAAAAGAAAGAGAAGCGAGAGCAGUGCGAUCCGUCGCGUUGAGCGUUUUCUCUGACUUGGUCUCUCUGAGGCCCUUUCCUUGCUACAAACUCGAAUGGUUAGUAUGAACGUGGAACUUGGUUGGACCGUCACUGGCCAACAAACUAUACACAACUUUCGACAACGGAUCUCUUGGUUCUCCCA
This 308-nucleotide unclassified non-coding RNA is filed under the name uncultured fungus. Its description in RNAcentral is "partial contains 18S rRNA, ITS1, 5.8S rRNA". The record is from RNAcentral. Lineage: Eukaryota; Fungi.